This 76-nucleotide transfer RNA is filed under the name Candidatus Peribacteraceae bacterium. RNAcentral's name for it is "tRNA-Lys". It matches the Rfam family "tRNA". Rfam says of the family: Transfer RNA (tRNA) molecules are approximately 80 nucleotides in length. The record is from RNAcentral. Lineage: Bacteria; Candidatus Peregrinibacteriota; Candidatus Peribacteria; Candidatus Peribacterales.
GGAUCGGUAGCUCAGUUGGUAGAGCAGGAGACUCUUAAUCUCUUGGUCGUGGGUUCAAAUCCCACCCGAUCCACCA